GUCUGGGAAACUGCCCGAUGGAGGGGGAUAACUACUGGAAACGGUAGCUAAUACCGCAUAACGUCGCAAGACCAAAGUGGGGGACCUUCGGGCCUCACACCAUCGGAUGUGCCCAGAUGGGAUUAGCUAGUAGGUGGGGUAAUGGCUCACCUAGGCGACGAUCCCUAGCUGGUCUGAGAGGAUGACCAGCCACACUGGAACUGAGACACGGUCCAGACUCCUACGGGAGGCAGCAGUGGGGAAUAUUGCACAAUGGGCGCAAGCCUGAUGCAGCCAUGCCGCGUGUAUGAAGAAGGCCUUCGGGUUGUAAAGUACUUUCAGCGGGGAGGAAGGCGGUGAAGUUAAUAGCUUCACCGAUUGACGUUACCCGCAGAAGAAGCACCGGCUAACUCCGUGCCAGCAGCCGCGGUAAUACGGAGGGUGCAAGCGUUAAUCGGAAUUACUGGGCGUAAAGCGCACGCAGGCGGUCUGUCAAGUCGGAUGUGAAAUCCCCGGGCUUAACCUGGGAACUGCAUUCGAAACUGGCAGGCUAGAGUCUUGUAGAGGGGGGUAG
RNAcentral lists this ribosomal RNA (553 nucleotides) under uncultured bacterium. Its description in RNAcentral is "bacterial SSU rRNA". It matches the Rfam family "Bacterial small subunit ribosomal RNA", at positions 115 to 664 of the family's 1533-position model. The record is from RNAcentral.